Molecule: ribosomal RNA, 20 nt
Filed under: Physconia detersa
Lineage: Eukaryota; Fungi; Ascomycota; Lecanoromycetes; Caliciales; Physciaceae
Also listed under: 2 other names
Description: partial 18S ribosomal RNA
Source: RNAcentral
ACGGGGAAUUAGGGUUCUAU